UCGGUCCAUAGGUGGAGGUUGGCUGUUAAAAGCCAGAAGGAUUGAGCAUCGCGCACGCUGAGCCCAAUAUUGUGGGGUGCCCCGUCGAGCAUGAGGCCGAGGAAUGGGGUGAGGUCGAGGUCGUAGGAGGGCAUGUCGAAGGCGCCGAUGGCGGCGACAGGGGACCAGAAGUAGGGGUUGAUGGCCCCUGGGUAGAUCACCGCAUAGGGCACAUGCCCGCCGAGGAAGCGGCCGUCGAGGGUCGCGUAGACCUGGCGGAAGGCGCCAUUGGCUCGCGGCGUCGAGAAAGAGACGGCGGGAGAUUGCUGGAGGUACGAGGAGCGUAGGGGGUUGGUGUACCACAGCUCGUCGUCGCCGUGGUAGGAGACGAAGAUCUCGAGGACUGCCCGGUAGGUGUUCGGGGGAAUUGUGAUCGAUUUGGAACCAGGGGCGGAGUCAUUGUCGAUUCGGAACCAGAAACCAGACUCGUAGUAACCGUCAGGGUUUGAGACUGGGAGGAUGAGGUCGGCGGGCUCACGGUACAGGCCCUUGAUCGUUGGGUGCGAUGUGUAAGCCAAGAGGGGUUGGGAUUGAACGGAGUGCGUUGAGCCACGGUAGAAGUGGAGGGAGACGUUGGCGGAGUAGACGCCCGGUAGUGCUACAUUCGAAUUCUCGAGCAUCAUGGAUAUGACACCGCUGCCUCCGUUGGAGAGGCUGUGGAAGAGCGCAGAGUAGCGGGUGACGUCCUUUUGGACGCGCCAGAAUGCACCGGGCGCCAUAGGGCGUGGGGUGGCAGUGCGGAGGACCUCGGCGCCGCCGACCCAGAUGGCAGCGACCCGGUCGUGUUGGAGAUCAGUGGCAAAAACGGAGAGCUCGAGAAUGACGCGGGUCCAGGGGAAGGGGCACUCAGCCGGCAGGGUAUAGUUGGACGCCGCGGGCGGGGAGCCGAAGGUGUCGGCAAAGUCUUGUUGGAGGACAAGCACGGAGCACCGAGGGGUCUCGCCUGCUAGGACCACCGGAGGGAGUGUCGGGUCAAUGUGUUCUAAGGAGAUCGCCGGUAUCGGAUCUUUAAGAAGAAGAGAUGUCCCAGCAUUGGUGUAUACAAAGAUUGUGGCACACAGGAGAAGGGAGAAGAGAAGUUUCUGAUGCAUAUUUGGGUCUGGUGAGAUGAAAAGAAUGGUAACAGGUGGGACAUUUAUACGCAGAUAGAGGAUGGGGGGAAUGCUUAAAAUGUGUUUGAUCAAUUUCUUCUGUUCUCGUACAGACACUUUGUAGUAUUCUUUUAGAACAGAGUAUUUCUAUACACGAGAGCACCGGCGACCAGUUGCGAACCUUCAUUGGCAUUUCGUCGAGUAAUCCGUAGCUAAGAGAAGGUUUAUAUUUUAUCCUGUACGAUGGAGUAAUUUUUCCCCAUCGGGAUGCGUUUGAACUAUUAUCUGUAUUGAAUGACUCAAAUACACUGCACAAGUAUCUUUUACCCAUGCUUAAAUUUUUCUCCGUAUAAUAGACUGUUCCUAAUACAAAUGGCAAAAAAAUUCAUGGUUGAUACUUAAGUUUCAAAUUCGAAUCCUAAUUUAUUUAUAUUUUCGGCUAAAUUUAUUUUUUAAAAAAAUAAACAAAACGAAUAACCUGCUAUAUUUCUCUUUAAAUUUUUUUUUUUUUCUUGGUAUAGGACUGUAGAAUUACUGCACUCGUUUCAAAGAUCAAUCUCGGAAGGCCGAUCUCCUAGGAUUCGGCUCCUACCAUUUAAGUUGAAAACAUGAGUCCCAUCACAAUAGCAGAUACCACGAAGGGUCCAAACAACGUCUCCUUCUACCAUCUUGUAAUCCGUUCGUUAAAAAGAAUUCAAAAAUGUACCCGCAGUAUAAUCCCUACUCCGUUCACAUUUUACAUGCUGGUCACUUAUUAGCAAAAACAACACCAAUUCCCCCAUUGCUUUAUGCAUGUAUAUAUACAACCCACAACACCACUCAUUUUCAUCAACUCAGCUGAGCCAUAGCAAACACCAGUUCCCCCAUUUGAACCCAGCAUCAAACACAUGAUGUCUCUCACCCACCACCAUCUACUGUUCCCCUGUUGCCUUCUUCUCCUGCUGGUUCGGCUUUCCGGAGCCAGCGGCGUGUCGCCAUGGCAGCUCAUCACGCCGUCCGUCCCCGGCAGGUUGGUGUUCCCCCCGCCACCGUCUGUCCCAGCAGAGAAUGCCACCCUCGAAUACAUGGACCCCACCCUCCCGCCGCUCCUCCCCGCUCACAACCCAAAAUGCUCCCUCCUAGUCCUCCAAUACAACUUUGCCGACACCGUCGGCGCCCCGCCCGUCGCCGCCAACUACACCCCGCCCCCUGACUGCCCCGCUCCGUGGUCCCGCGUCGUGCUUGAGCUCUCUGCCUCCGCCUCUGGCCUCCAGAAGGACCGCAUUGCCGCCCUGUGGCUCGACGGUGCGGAGAUCCUCCGCACCACGACCCCAUACCCGAUGGCCCCCGGCGUCUUCUGGCGGGUGCGCAAGGACGUCACCCGCUACACUGCGCUCCUACGCGGCCGAUCCCCUUACGAGGGUGACCAGCCGUGUGUUCUCUCGAUGAUGCUCGAGAAUUCCAAUGCCAAGUACCCGGGCGUCUACUCCAUCAACGUCUCCCUCCAUUUCUACCGCGGUGCACUCUGCAGCGGCGGCAGAUGCAUUGGGCUCAAACCGGCCGGAGAAACUAAACGAGCCGAGCUCGGGCCAGCACUCUCCGCGCAUCCAACAAUAAAAGGAAUCUACCGCGAGCCGGCCGACAUGAUCAUCCCCAUAUCGAAUGGCGACGGCCGCAAAGGCUUCUGGUUUCGCCUCGAGAACGAGACUGAAGUGCAAGGCACGACGGUGCGACUGCCGAAUAACACCUACCGUGCAGUCCUGGAGGUCUAUGUGUCGCACCACGGUGACGACGAGUAUUGGUACGCCAACCCCCUCCGCACCAACGGGCCCGAGGCGGAGGGGUUGCAGCCUCAACAAGGCGGCGACAACCGCCUAGAAUCUUCCAAGGCAAACGGCGGCUUCCGCCAGGUGGUGGCCACAGUCGACGGGCGCUACGUCGGCUCCGCAAUUCCGUUUCCUGUCAUAUAUCCAGGGUCCGUGAACCCCUUCUUCUGGGCCCCUGUGGCGGCCAUCGGCGCGUACGACCACCCGUCUUACGACCUCGACCUCACGCCGUUCGUCGGCCAUCUGAUCGACGGAGCACCGCACGUGUUCGGGCUGGCGGUGCGCGACAGCCAGCCGUUCUGGCUCGUGUCGGCAAACCUGCACGUGUGGGUGGAUGCAUGGUCCGACACGGUGGAGGGGGCGCUCGUGCGGUACAAGGUGCCGCCGUUCCGUUUGAGCAGACAAGCGGACUGGACGGAGCGGGAGGGGAAGUCGGAGAUCGAAGGGCAGGUCAUAAUCCGGUUCUCCGGCUGGGUCAGCUCGUCGAAGGGGAACAUCACGACGAGCGUUCGGCACAAGAUCAAGUUCAAGAGCCACAUAGAGGCCGAGGAGAAGGGGGAGAUGACCAGCGUCGAGUUGGAGAGCAAGGCCCGGACCAACAUCAGGAUCGAAAGGGAGGAUCAGGUACUAUUUAAUCCAACUAAAAAAGUUUAAACUCACGGCACUUAAAAUGGUUCAAAGCUAGGCUGAUUUUGAGAGCAACUUUAAAACUAGGUAAUCGGCCGGGUGGCGGUGGAGACGGAGACGCCGCUGACGAUGGCUACGAUGAGCUCGAACGGGGGCGGGGGGUCGAGAUUCCACAAGACGAAGCUGGCGCACGCGCUGAUGGAGACGCGGAGCGUGGCGGAGAACAAGGGGACGAGCUUCAGCGCGGUGGCGGACCGGCAGGAUUCGGAGGGCGCGGUGCUGAUGGAAGAGGGAGUGGCCAUGUGGGGGAAUGGCGACACCAAGUCGGUGUACAAGUACCGCGACGACAAAGGGUGUUACCUGCGGACGGUGAACGUGGUCGGCGGGAAGGUGAAGGAGGAUGAGGACACGGCGUCGUGCGCGGCCGCGGCCGUCGCAGAGUCGUAGUACGAAGGCACCAACGCACAGCAAGCAAAUUCUGAAGGAUGGCUACUUGUGUAGUCUUUUGUUGUCAUAUAGAUCGAGUUAUAUCGUAUAAUAGUGUCACUCUCUAUACACGACCGCAUAAUCUUUUAUUAGUUGUUUAGUAAAAUCUGUUUUGCUGGUUAGCUGUUAGUUCUUUUUCUGUACGACUGUUCUGAAAUUAUGAAAUGAAAAUAUAUACAUGGCUUUCAUGGUAUUCCAUUUUCCUCCGAUGAAACUGCGCGCGUGUUUUGUCCCACUAAUACCACGAUAGGGUUCGUAUCACUUUUACUUGGUGGCUCCUUAAUUCAAGGUUAAAUUUUUACACUAAAUUUGAUAAGUACGCGUGUUUUGAGAUCAUAAAGUGGCGCAUAACAGAUUAUUGUAUAUAUAUUUACAUUGUAAUAUAUAAAAUUAUUAUUAUAAAUUUAAAAACCAACAUGUUACAAAUCAAAUAAUAGUUGCUCAUCGGUGGCUCGUAGCUCCGGUGCGCCGCGUCCCAAUUGCGAACCUUUUUUCGGUUAGCUCAAAUACCGAAUUUACCCCUAACCCGACCUACUUAUUUACGGUAUUACCCUCGCCCCCAUCAACUAGACCAUUUCCCCGUUCUCCUCAACUAUACAUUUCUUCUCCGAGAAGAGGAGCACCCAUUCCAUCCAAGCGCUCCGCCACCUCCUCUAUCUUCUUCGAGAAGCUUCUUCGAGAACUCUCUCUCUCUCAAACACACACCAAAAAGCAGAGGAGUUUGAGGAGGAGGAGAUCGAUCGACCAUGUUUUACUCGGAAAGCUCCUCUCGGCCAAAUAUGGUGAGGCGAAUCCUCUUCAUCUUCGUAUCGUCUCCCUCUUUAUGCUUCAAUUUCGUAGAGACUCUUUAGGUUUACCCAUCCGAUUGGCGAUUGUUGGUGUCCUAGGAUGGCGGCUACACUGCACGCGAAGAUCAAUCGGAGGAAGCUCGAUAAGCUCGACAUUAUCAAGAUAUGGUGAGAUCUCUCGUCGUUUCCUCUAUUCUCAUGGUGGAAACCUUACGAUUUGAGCUGAAUUUCGGUUAUCAGAUCUGGUUGUAGUGAGGAGAUCCUGAAUCCGACAGUUCCGAUGGCUUUACGGCUCUCUGAAAUCUAAUGGGUGAGCGAUCGAAAUAAAUCUAAGAUUAAACUCGUGUCAUUAGUUAAUUUAAUCUCAUCUACUGCUGUGCGUGUUGUAUCCUCGAUCUCAGGUGGUGUAGUCAUGUAUACGAGGGAGCGUGAAGACUCGCUUUACGGUGCGUUCUGCUCUUCUCUCUCCUCUGCCUCUCUCUCUCUCUGGUGUUCUAAUUUUUAUUUAUGAUUCUUUCAUUGGUAUGUCUCCUCUUACGCGUUCAUUAUCUAAGCUCUUUAGGUUUACCAUCGAUUGGCGAUUGAUUCGGUGUCUAGGAUGCGGCUACCACUGCACGCGAAGAUCACGGGACAGAGCUCGGACAGGCUCAGAAUUAUCAAGAGUAUGGUAGAUCCUGGUUUUACUCUUUUUAUUGCGGAAACUCUGCGAUUGAGGCUGAAUUAUUGGUUAUUCUGUGUUUAAUCUGAUUGUAUGAGGAAAUCCUGAAUCCCACAGUUCCAAUGCUCUAACGGCUACUCUGGGAUACUAAUGGAGUGACUGAUCGAAGAUUAAAUUUAAUUCUUAUUUCGUGUCAGUUGAUUAGAAUUUAAUGUGUAUCUAUGGCUAUAUGUGUAUAUCUCUAUCUCAGGUCGGUGUAGUCAAUCGAUUAUGAGCAGGAAGGUGAAGAUCUCUAUGGGCGUGCUUUGCUCUACUCUGCUUUCUGUUACUCUCUGGUUCUAAAUAUUUAUGAAUCCAUUUUAAUCUUUGCAGAAAUGAUGUGACUCGUUUUCUGGUAAUUUAAUAAUCUUCAAAUUUCUCUUAUUUUUUCCUGAUUUUAACCUCCAUUUGAUCUAUUUAAUGUUAUGUCGCGUUUUCUAAACUUGAUCUUAGUGGUUAAAAUUCUUCGUACAAACUGAAUUUUAUUUAUGUCAUUAUAUAUAUUUAGUAUAUAUAUAAUAUAUAUAUAUCUAUAUAUAUAUAUAUAUAUAUAUUAUAUAUAUAUAUAAUUAAAAUACCUAAAAAAAAAAAAAAAAAAUAGCGAGACGCAAAACAUAGUUAAUAAUAUUGCUCUACCCCCCCGCCUCUAAUCCAUUCUCUUUUCGCUUUCUCUCUCCCCCUCUCUCCCCCUCUCUCCCAUUCUCUCUCCUCACUCAUGGCGCCAUUAGCAUUCCCUCCACCCACCCUUCCUGCAGCAAUCCUCCCCGCCACUGAAGCGGGGAGAGGUGGCGGCGGCCCCCCGCCGCCCAGGCCUCCAUCAUCCGCCGCCGCUCCUCCUCCUCCUCCUGAGGAACCGAAAAAAGUUUUCUGGCCUUUCUUUUUAAAAUGGCGUGAGGAGGAGAAAAGAAAACCUGACAAAGUUUCUUUUCCGCGAGCUACAUCAUUUCCGACACUGAGGCUCCUCAAUGGGUUGCCCAUCGUUGAGGUUAAACUUCUUCCUAAGCUAAUGUUGUGUUCUAGCCUUUUCUUUUUCUUUGAUUUAGUUUAGGUUUUCUGAACUUUCUCUUUCUCCCCUUCCCUAUUCUUUCUUUUGUAGGGUGCAAUCUAUUCCCCUCCUCCUCCUCCCGAAUGGGGGGGCGGGGAGAAGAAGGAGAGAUCCCCUCCCGAGGAGCGGCGCGGCGAAGAAAAACAGGCUGAUAGAGUUUCUUUCCCACAAUCGUCUGCUUUUCCAACACUGAGGUUGGGCGACGAUUCCGCUGUAGUCAAGGUUCUGAAAGGCAAACCCUAGGCCUUUUCUAUAUUGCUUGAUUCAUAGUUUAGGUUUUAUGAACAUUCUUUUCGAUCCCCAUUUCUUUUAUUCGUUUCUCCAUUUUCUCUCUUGCGCGUGUUGUCUACGGUGGAAAAAGGGCAACACAGGGGUUGAAUGCCCUAGCCCGAGCGCAAUGAGGUGAGGUCAGAGCAGCGUUCACUCUUUUCUUUUAAACUCAAGAUUGCUUUUCAUUUUUGGGGAUGAGAGACGAGACCUCAACGACCUAUCUCAGUACUUAACAUUCCUCUUAUAUCAGUGUACGAUUCUUUGCAUUUUUGUAGAUAUCGAAUUUCGUGAGACCUUUUUUUUUUUUUUUUUUUUCUUUUUUUUUUUUUGUUGUUUUUUCAAACUAUAUCAAGCAUAGGAUCUGGUAUGAAGGUUGAAGAUUGUGAUUAGAAUCUAAUUUAAUUUUGUAAUGAAAUUAAUAAAUUUAAUAAAUGCAUACAAUCUAAUUAAUAAAUUUAAUAAUUUUGUAAUGAAAUUAAUAAAUUUUAGGCCUUUUUUUUGUUGUUUUUUCAAACUAUAUCAAGCAUAAAAGUACCCGCGCAAUGCGGCGAAAAGUCAAUACAAUAAUAAAUUAUUAGAAUUAUUAACAUAAUUUUUUUCUAUUAUAUAUUAAUAUUUUUAAAUAUUAUUUAUCUUCAUAUUGAAUAAUUAAAAUUUAAAGAAUAAAAUUAAAAUAUAUUUCUUUCUAAAAUAUUUAAAUCAAAUAAAUAAAAUGAAUAAAUCAAUUUAAAAUAAAACAAUAGCUUAUUACAAUAUUAAGAAAGCUAAAUAAUAUUUUUCUAUUUCAUAAGGUAGAAUUUACAAAAAAAAUAAAAAAAAUUAAGUGGAGUGAAAGUACUAUUUUUGGUAUUCUCUAGCGGCAACCGUCUUCAUUAGUAAUAAAUUACAUAUUUUAUCGUACAUAUAUUAAAUAAUAAAGUUUCGACACAUUCCUAAAUUUAAAUUAAAAAGAAUCCAGUAGAUGAAUCAUCAUAACCCACAAAAAUAAAUAGACUUACAAAACAUGCAAAAUCAAAAAUAGAUGUUUUUUAUUAUGAAAAAAACAUUUAACUCAAACAACAUAAUCAAUAUAUUAUAUACAGUUAUCCUCAAAAUUUUGUAAAUAAAUAAAACCUAAACAUACAAUAAAUAAAUAUUAUGAGAGAGAGUGAGAGAGAGAAACCGAAAAAAACGGCCAGCCCCACAGGUCCCCCCAAACCCGGGGAGCCCUGUGGGUUCCCAAUUUCACUUAAAUAUGUGUUUGUUGAGCUAAAACGAAAAACAUAUAUCAAAGUAUUAGAAAUUAAUGAAUGCAUAAGUCUAGUAAAUAAAUUAAAUAUAAAUAAAUAAAUAAUGUUUGUGAGAAUUGUUUGAUCUAAACAGAAAAAUAACAAAUUUAGAAAUUAAUGAGCUAAUGAGUUCUAAUAAAUAAAUAAACAUAUAAAUAAAUAAAUAUAUUGUGGAGAGAGUGAAAGAAGAGGAACCAAAAAGAAAAAAAAAGGGCCGACACAGCCCCCAAACCCGGGGAGCCCCUUGUGAUCAUAAAAAGGAAGUGGGCCCGCAUAGGGCCCCCCAAACCAGGGGCCCUUGUGGGUUUUCAAUUCCUGUAUUUAAUAGUGUGAUUUAUAUAGUUAGUAAUGCCGUGCAACGCAACAAUUUUUUUAUACUUUAUAACUAAUUAAUAAAUAAUAAAAUAUUUUUAUUUAUAAAGUAAAUAACAAUAUAUUUGGCUCUAUUAAAUAAAAAAAUUUUACAGUUAUUUUCUAUCACAAAGUAAUACGUGUUUACCAUAUAUUUUUGAUAGGCCAAACUAAAAUUUCCUUGGUUAGUGAAGAGAUGGCAUAGUUUUUCCGAAUCAGUUCCAAGUUUAUUGAAAACAAAGGCAAGUUCUUUUAGAAUUACAUAAAUACAGGUAUUCAAUUUAUCAAUUAGAACUACAUCGACCAUGACAAAAAUUAAAAGUUUAAAUUGAAUAAAACAAUACAAAUAAAUAUCAUGAUUUCCGCUGUGCCCUUAUAAACGCAAAAUUUAAAUAGUUUGCCCACGAUGGUUAGUGUUCCUUAGGCAAUAUCUAUCAAACCACAAAUAAUUGACUCCUAGCAUCCGAACUUACCAUUGGUAUUAUUAUAUUAUCAUACCUAGCUUUUAGCGAAAAUGUAUAAAAAGUCUCCUAUAGCUAGAUGCAUCUUUAUUACCUUUUAAUAGAUGCGUACGAGAGGAUCAAACCUCCGACCUGUCGGCGACUAUGCUAGGCACUGGUGAUGAGACGAUUAGCUAUAGUUAGCAAAGCCCAACACAAAUAUAUUUGUACUCAACACGGUUUUUACCCCCUUUUUUUUAGGGGAAGAACUGUUAUGUUCAGACCGAAUUAUUAUAUCAUAUUGAACCAGCUGAACUCGGUUAAUCUAUUCAAUUUUCUCAAUAGUUGGUUCGGUUUGAUUAUUCACUUUGAGAAUUCAAUUAGCCAAGAUAACCAAAGGAGCAAAUAGAUAGCUAUUGGAUACUUAUUAGCCGAUAAAUGAUGAUUGAACAAUUGGAGUGCUUAAUUACUAUAGCUAUUGAAUCAAAGCUUUAAUGCACAUGAUAAUUCCAUAUCUGCACUGAUCUCAUCUACCGCAAUUGGCUGAGAAUUUGAUAGUGGUUACCUGGACACUUGCAUAGACUGGAUCCCUGGAAAGAAAAGCAUCUGCCUCAAACAUCUUCCUUCAUUUAUCAGAACAACAUAUCCUCGCGACGUCUCACUAAGAACGGAAAAUAAAUUAGCUAAGAUUUGUUCAAGAGCUUCCGGUUUAAUCUUCGACACAUUUGAUAACCUCGAUAAUGAAAUCAUAAAACCUCUGAUUGCAUAAUAAGAUGAAGCCUACGCACUUGAGCCUUUCGAAAGCUAUGAUUGCAUAGUGGCUAAAAAAUCAAAAUAAUGUUUCUGUUAUUUUUGUGAGCUUUGGGAGCACCAUAUCAAUAACAUCCCAGGAUUUAACUGAAUUAGCUUGGCCACUCACAGAGUGCAACUUUGCCUUCAUGAGGAUCAUUAGGCCUAGUUUACUAGAAGGCGGUGUCGAAUCAUUUCUGAGAGAGAAAAAUAGACAUGAAACUGCAAAGCAGCAAAACCUGAAGAAAAAAAAAAAAUUCACCCAAUUAGAGUGAGGUGAAAAGUUUAAAAUAAAAGAGAAAAAACCAAGAAUAAGCGAAGAAUAACACAAGAAACAAAUGUUACGAAUUGAAGUUGAUGUGCACAAUAAGGACUUGAUGAACAAGUGUUAUGCACUAAACCAGUAGUUCUAUGAAAGCUUUGAAAGAGCACAUACAAAUAUAUGUAACUUUUGUGAUUAAAGUUAACCAACCAAGUGGUGGUUUCAAAAUGUGCAUUAAUACCUUGAAUUGAUUGUGACAGGAAUAAAUUUUGGACUUAGUCACUAAAUACCAAAUAUCCAAAAUAGAAAAAAACAAAGAAGGAGCUAAUUUUAGUUGAGAUAAGAGGAAGCAAUUUACUUGUUGGUAUCCAUAAUUAGAUGGGUAGAUCAUAUACCUGCAAAAGUAGACACAGUAAUAAGUGGAUAAGCUAACAAUGGAGGCACUAUAAACGUAGUGGACUUUUGGGCCCACCAACUAUUUAAAGCCCAAUUAAUUGAAAAUAAUAUAGCAAUGACGAAAUUAUAUUUUAAUCAUGGAAAAUAUGGGCAUUUAAAAAAUUUAAAAUAUGAAUUAAGAGAGCACAACUGACCUGUUGCUCAUAUUUCAGCUAAGGACAAUAGCAUGCAUCAACUCCGAGCCUCGCGGGUGGUCUUAAAGCAAUGUCCAUCUAAACGAUAAUUAAAUUGAUAAAUGCAAAUUACAACAUAAUGAAGAAAUAACCUAAACCUGUCAAGCGUCUUAAACUUUCAAUUCAUGUAUUUAUAUAGAAAAUCUCUAAAGGCAAUUAUUUUUAUCAAACAAACGAAAAGUAGACAGUAAAUAACUAUAUAGAGCAAAUGAAAGAGACUCAUAUAUGCUUUUGCUUAAUCACAACGACAUUUAACCACAAAUCCUCUUCUCCCUCCUCCAAAACUUUUUUAAAAGUAAAUCACUACAAUGGUUGCCUUAGGUCAUCCAAACUGCCUUGCCAUUAAACUCUUAUGGUGUGUAUGUAAAAAUUUUAAGAAAAUGAGAGAGAUUUGGAUUUAUGUAACCUUAAUAAGUAAGGUAGCCUCCAAAAUCAGCAGUUCAAGGAAGAACCAUUUAAUCAUCAUUGCCUCUAAUACCUUAACAAUCAAGACCAAAUACAUGGAACACCUAAUUGAUGCAGGAGCAUCAAUUGCCGUUGAUGCGUAAGUGUAGCAUUUGAUCGAAAAGAUGAUGAAUUGAUCCGAAUCACUCAGCCCAAAAAACCUACAAUUUUGUUCAUCCUGAAAGUAUCAAAUAAUAAAGGUUGAUUAAUGUUGGAUAAAAAUUAAGAAAACAUGUUCGAUUUUGUAAUUUUAUCAAACAAUAAUAGAAUUUUCAUACUGUGACUAUUUAUAGAAAAAAGUUAAACUUAAAAUAAAAGUAAUGAAUCCAAAAUAUAAUUACUCAAUAAUCCACCAACUGUCUAUUUUACAUCAUACCCUAUUGCUAAGGUAAAAACAGAGAGAAAGUAAAUAGUAGGCAUGUACGUAGGCCAAACUGUCGAUAAUCCAAUAUUCCAUGAUUUUUGCUUUCACAUGUGUUAAUCCAAUAUUCCAACUUAUAUAUCACAAUUAAAUAUUUUUUUACCGCAUAUCUAUUUAGCAAAUAAAUUCGUACAUUACAUUAGACAAACGAUGAUAUUUAAUUAAACCUUAAUUUAAUGCCUAUAUUUGUCAGUAUUGAAAAUUUAAUGCAAAUAAUUUGGUGCAUAAACCUUAAAGCAUGUUAGAUAAUUUAUUGAAAAGCACCAUAUUUGAAACGUUGUUGCCUGAGAGGGUCAAAGGAGCAGGCAGAAAGUCUAGCCGAAAACGUCACGGGCGAACACAUGGAACAAAAGAAAAAUAUCGUACCUGUAAAAUAUAGCAAAAAUAUUAAAGCACCAUUCUUCGACAAUUUAAAAUUUCGGAAAUAAAUUUGACUGAUUCAGUGUAGGAUCCUGAGUCUAUUAAGGGCCCAUUUAGUAUAUACUAGUUAAACACCGGCGCUUCGCUGCGGAAAAAAAAAAUUACAGUAAAUAUACAAUAAUAAUUAAUAAAUAAUAACAAAAAAAUAUUAAAAAAUAAAACUUAUUUAUAUUAGAAUUAAUAAAUAAUAACAAAAAAAUAUUAAAAAAUAAAACUUAUUUAUAUUAGAAAUUUAUUUAAAAUUAAGCCACAACAAAUAAAAUAACUUUUUUUCUCUUAAAAAUAAUUUUUUAGCGAAAAAUGCAUAAAAAACACUACGCCGCCAACGCCGUCGCAUCCUUCGUUCUCGACACCAUCGCGUCGGCGCUGGGUGGGCUUCUCAAAAUCGUCAAAUUAAGAUCUAAGGUUUUUCGAAACCAUACCCUCACUGGACGGUGAGCGACUCGUAGUAAGUAAGUAAGUAACCAAACAUAUAUGUAGUUAACUUAUAAGUAACCACAUAAUUUUUUAAAGAUUGUAAAUUCUAAAUAUAAAUAUUUAACCUUAUUAUCAAAAAAUCUAUAUGUAGUUAUAAAUAACCAAAUAUAAAUGUUGAGAUUUUUAGUUUUUAAAUUAUCAAAAUAUGAGCAAUCAUAAUAUUAACUACAAUAUUAUUAAAACAAUAAGUAGUUAGUAAAAUCAACAAAUUUUUAUUAUUAUGUGAGAAAAUUUUCUAUUUAUAAUUAUAAUAUUUUAAUUUUACACAUUGCUUGUUAUUUCAAAAUUUUAUAUAUUAACAUUGUUUUGAGUAAAUUUUUUUUGCAUAUUGAUUCAAAAAGAUGUACUAUAUGAAUAAUAUUAUUGAAAAAUAUUAUGUUGAAAUAUUUUACUGCUUUAGCAAAAUCAAAUACUAAAUUAAAUUUUUUUAUUUCAAUAUCUAAAAUUUACUUUUAUUUUUGUUACUGUACCAAAAAUUAAAAAAUUUCUCUUGGUCAAAUGAUCUCCAUAAUUAGAAGAUUGGUCUGUGGUAGACCACGGUCUAGGUUGUGAUUUCUCUAUAUUUAGCCAUCAAAUAUUUAUGGCCGUAAGAAUCAUGUGGUCGGUGGGGCUCCACCAAAGGACGGUGGGUGAUGAAUAACAUUACUUAAGAAGAGAAAAUAAUGGAGGAUUAAAUUGAAGGUCCACGGAUGACAUGGUGAACCAAUUGCAUGCAAUAUUUCCGCCUCACCGCAUCACCAUAAUUGUUCCUUCCAUUUUCGCUACUUUCCCCUCUGUCUCUCGCUCAUUACGACGCUCAUGCCAUUUCCGCAAUCUCUUUUUUUUUUUUUUUUUUCAAUGAAGUGACCAUACUUCUAUUGCCCUGCAUGCUUUGACGACAUUAAAUUGACUAUUUUCAUGCACUAAUUUUUAAGAAACACAUCAAACAUCAAACACAUUCUUCAUCAAUUAUAUUCGACUGUAAACUAAAAAACCCUCCUUUCCACUAAUUUUAAUAUUUAGAAUUGGCAAGUACCAAAAAGGCAUUCGUUUCACUCCUACAAUCAACUCGAAACCAUGCAAUCGCAAGCGAAAGACCGAAUUUUAGCCCCAACUAAUAAACCCUAAGAAUCUAAGCAAGAGGUGAUCAUCGAAACCCAACGUGCUUCCCCACCGAUCCCACCGAUCUUCGGGAUCGAUCUGCGCCCCCCCUCUUGAGCAGCAGCUCGACCACGUCCGCGAAGCCCUGGCACGCGGCGACGUGAAGCGCGGUGCGCCCGUCGAUGUCCCUGAAGUUGACGUCGACGCCGGAGUCGAGGAGCUCGCGGAUCCCUUCCAUGUCGCCCUCGUUCGCGAUGUACAUGAGGCGGAUCUCUGCGCCGAUCUCCGCGAGGGCGCCGCCGCCAUUGGGCUUCUCGCUCGCCGCCGCCGCCGCCGCGGUCGGGCGCGAGCGACGAUUGCUUCCCCAGCGUGAAGCGCCCCGUCGACUUCGACUCCAUUAACGUAAGCUCCGGAGAUCGCGAUCGCGAAUUGGAUACGGGGAUCGAAGAGAGAGCCAUUUCCGCAAUCUCUAAUCUGGGAGAAGGAAAAAAUAAAUAAAAAUAAGAAAAGAAAAGAAAAGAAAAGAAAUCGUAAAUUUAAUACUAAUUUCCUAGCAUUGGAAGUCCCUCUCUGUUUUAAAAAAAAUUAUUAUAUCAGUGAAAAGAGAAAGGCACCACACACAUGAGAGAAAUGGCAGAGAGAGAGGAGAGAGAGGAAGUGCUCUGCUCUGGGAGUCUGAGGACUGAGGAGAAGUGAAGUAGAAGUCUCUUCUCUCGGAACCAACUCCUCAUCACCCCCCACCACACCAACCGUCGUAGCUCUAAAAAUGCCACCUGUCCAAAAUUACUCGGAUCCCCACCUCUUCGCAGCGAUCGGAGGCGGAGGCGAAGGGAUCGAAGGGGGAGAGCUCGUCCGCUGGGCAGGGGCGUGGAAGAGAGCGAUCACCCCCGCGGCCUUCGCCGCCCUCGACGCCCCCGCGGCCCUCGCCGCGGCCUCCGUGGCUGCUGCUUCCGCUGCUGCCGCGGCUGCACUCUCCAUUUCCAACCUCGGGUGGCGCUUAUGCCAAUGAAUGAUAGGGAGAGAGAGAGAGGGGGGGCUGGCUAAGAGAAGGGAAGAGAGAGAGAGAGAGUAAGUAGGGGAGAGGAGGAGAGAGAGAAAAAAGAAGCGCAGCUGGAGAGGAUUUUUUAGGGAAUGACAGAGCUGUCUUGGGAAAAGAGAGGAUUUUUUGAAAAGGAGCUGGUCCAAGUCCACCUCGGAAAAAGAGAGGAUUUUUUAAAAAGAAGCCCGUCCAAGUUUACCCUCGGGAAGCAGCCAAGAAUGUUUUUUAUUCGUAAAAUAGGAAAUGCCGCCACGUUAGAUGUUUAGAACUGUCAAUUAGUAUAUUUGUAUGGAUUGUAUGGAUUGAGGCUCAUCUAACUCUACCUCAUUUUUUUGUUAAAAACUUCGUAACCAAUAUCUACUAUUAAUAAAUACUAAUCUAAUUAUCAAAAGUCCAUGAAUCAAAAAGAAACAAUCCAAAAACUGCAACUAUAACUCCAGAGACAACAAAUGUUCGCAUCGAAGCUUCCAAACCACCAGCAUGGUUUCCUUGAAGUAGAAAAGCCAUGAUGCUAAUUUCCAGAAACAAUAUUCCGGAUUUUGAAAACAAUGACAACAAAUUCCAAGAGAACUCCUUGCAGGUGUACAUUGCCACUCCUACCGUCACAUAUAAAAUAAAUAGAAGAGCUAUUGCAUUAAAAGCUAAUGCAUUAAAAGGGCUUGUAUAUUAGUAUUCAAAAAAUUAAGUUCAAGUCGCACAAAAGUGAAAAGAAAUAACAACCCUAAUAAUUAAUUAAUUAACACGUAGCUCCCGAAACAUGCCUAUUCUUAAACAGAUUGAAUCGAGAAAACCCUGGAAUGUUCAACGUAGCAAGAAGAAGGGAAUUGUGUUAUACUUGGAUGACGUAUCAUAGAAGAUUGAGAACGCUAACAACCCAAAGUUGGACGUAGUAUGCGAUUAUGAUGUAGGAUCGGCCAUAGGUAAGCUUGGCGUUGCUGCGUGGCCCAUGGCAUGCUUUAAAAAAAAAACAAUAUAAACCUAAGAUGAAAAACAAAAAAACAAACAAAAAGGAAACAGUUGGGUUACCUGCGCCACCAAAACAUACUCCUUUGUGAUAACCUGCGAAAUAAUCAGAGAGGAGAAAUCGGUCAGGCACAAUCUCGAAACAGUGCACAAUCGAACAAUUCGCAAUCGAGCUCCGACACUCACGACACAUCAAUCGAUAGCGUUAGGCGUGAUCCAAAUAGGAAAUUUAUACAAAAGAACACGACACAAAUUUUAUUCGAGGAACACGACUGAAGAGGACGAGGAGGAGAUUAGGGUUCGGGUUUCGUGAUCGCACCGUGGAGACGGACCAAGAACAAUCCUCGACCACGGCGGAGUCUUCGAGGCCAUUGAGGAUGUUCUCCCCGAAGUCGGAGUCGUCGUCCUCCUCUUCUACACCGUCGCUCAAGUACGUCUCCUCUUCCUCCCCUGCGUUCUCACUAUUAUCAUCGUUCUCUUCAUCUUCCUCCCUGAGAUCCCUCCCAUCGCCAUCGCUUGCCGUUGGAGAAAGGAUCGAAGAAGAAGAUAUCACUCUCCCUCGAUCACCACCCCCUUAAUGACGCCGCCUUCCUCUCCCCCCGCUGCGAAUCCCGGCGAAGAUCGCGCCGCGGAUCUCGACGGGGAGAUCGGAGAGAGAUGAGAGGCGGGAUCGGAGGGGGGGGAGAGGUGGCGGAGGAAGGAUUGAAGAGGCGGUUGUGGGGGGUUCGAAGAGGCGGGGCAGGAUCGAAGCGGUGGGAAUCCCACCAGGGAGCGAUCAAAGAGGCAGAGGCGAAGGGGCUUGGUGACGUGGGAUUGAAUUAGCCUGAAUUAAGGUAAACUGGACACGUGGCAAAAAAGAACGGGGAUUAAUAGAGUUUAUAGAUGAGAGGCGGCUUGGUGAUGUGGGAUUGAAUUAGCUUGGAUUAAGGUAAACUGGACACGUGGCAAAAAAGAACGGGGAUUAAUAGAGUUUAUAGAUUCUCAAAAUGGAAAUAGCAUAAGGAGUCUUGUUAUUAAGUUAUCUUCAAAUCUAAAUCAAGAGCUUGGGGGAAAAAAAUCACAAAAUAGGCACCGAAUCUGUUUCAUAUAAUUUAAUAUGAUAGCUUAAUUUUUCAAAAAUAAACGAUUAUUUUGUAUUAUUUAAUAUGAUAUUAGAGUAGGCGCUCUCAAUUCGAAUCCCAACAAACUUCUGGAGUUACUUUGUUUUCUUCUGGAGUUACUUUGUUUUCUCAAUUUAAUUAAAACUCGAUGUUAAUUUAUUAAAAUAUUGAGUCCUGGCGUGAAGAAAUUUGUUCAUUACUAGUAUAGAAUCCGCGCUUUGCUGCGGUUAACGGUUAAUUUUAUAUUAUAGUUAAGUAAAAUUAUAAUGAAUAAAACAAAAAAAAAUUAUAGUUAAAAAAAUAUAAACAAAAAAAGAUUUAAGAAAAAAAAUACAUGCCCUGAAAAAAUUAUAGAGCAUUUAAUCAUUUCUAUUUAAUAAAAAGAGAUUUACCUAGAUAUUAUAUUUUUCUUCUUAUACUAUGGUCAAGAAAAAUUAAGAUUAAAUAAAGUAAAAACGGAUCAUAUGCUCUAAAAAAGUUGCGACAAAAAAAAUAAAAAUUAAAGUAGAAAAAAAUAAUCAGAGAUUCACCUAGAUAAUAAUAUUUUUUAUUUUAAAAAAAAUAUUUUGAAAUUUUCUAUUGAGAAAAAAUAAAAAAAAAAGAAAGAAUAUCAAAAAUAAAAAAAUCAUAAUAGAUAAGAAGUUGUGAAGUUAUACUUCAGACCUCACUUUUUUUUUUUUCUUUUUUUGAGGGUAAAUAAAAUCUUUAAAAUGUUUCAAUUGGUACAUCAGCAUUCUCUCCUCCUUCCAUACAAUAUGCUGAAUCAUAUGUUCAAUAGGCAAUCACUCAUUCUUUUCAUCUUAAAAUAUAAAAAAAAAAUUAACAUAACACAUAAUAUGUUCAUCAUUUUGUUAAAAUUUUAUCUUUAAAAAAAGUAAAAAAAUAUGUAGAUCCGGAUAAAGAAGUUGUCGGUCGGUUGCAGUAGGUUCGGGUUAACUCGUUCGAACUCGGACUCGGAUAUUAUAAGAUUGUGAGCGAGAAACCUACGCGGCUCGGCUCGAUCGAACUUCGCUUAAUUCCCUCUCGCCCUUUUCAAAACAAAACCCUUCUCUCUCUCUCUCUCUCUCA
This 17599-nucleotide long non-coding RNA is filed under the name Ananas comosus (pineapple). RNAcentral describes it as "long non-coding RNA (ACOM_LNC041807)". Lineage: Eukaryota; Viridiplantae; Streptophyta; Magnoliopsida; Poales; Bromeliaceae. The record is from RNAcentral.